UGUGACCAGUAGGGGUGGAGCCUGGCUGCACCUCUCUUAGAGCUCAUUUAGGGGCUGACUGCCACUGGAGAGGGGUUUUUUGUUGGAGAUCCCUCCCUUGUGGAGUUUUCCUUGUGAACCUACAUCUUCAGGGAUGGAGGCAAGAGAUGCACACAGCUUCACUUCUGGUAUCCUUGCUUGCUCAUCUAGCCAUUGUCAAGGCAGCUGUCAUCCGGGAGCCCUGGAGCUGCAAUGCAGAAAGCAAUAAUGGGAGUUCAGAUCUGAAAACAGUGCCUGACUCUACUGUACCAUCAAUUGUCAGCUGUGGAUGCUAAAAGACCUAAAAGUUUGAAGUUCAGACUGGAGUUCAGAUGGUGUAUUUUGGCUGGGGUCCAGCAUUACUAGAAAUCCAUCUUGACGUAGAGAGAGCAGCCGUAACAAGCUGGGCUGAUGGGCUGCCAGCCAGGCUCUUCUAAAGUAGUGGAAGAAACCUGUUUCAUGAGUUGGGUAUAAACUAUGUAACAGAGCCAGAGACAAAAUGCAUCCCAACAUUAAUGUCCAGGAUUACCAGCUGCUCACACAGCUUGUCUGGGGGCAUCCAGAAUGCCAGGAAACGCCUGGUAGCUGUUGUAUAUAGACAUAUUCUGUGAGGCACAAAGAAAUUGCAUCAAGGACUUUCAAACUACAAAACAUCAGAAAAUGCUACGAAAUACUUUUGGAAGUCAAAAACACUUUGAGGAGUAAUCUCGGCCUCAUAGGACAGCAUCCAUGAUGCUGGACACUUGGUUCCCAUUCCAGUUUUUGCCACUCAAGUAUGGAUGCAAAAUACAGAGGCAUAUUGUCUGCUGUCAUAACUCAUCUGCGAAGCAGAUGUUUCUUUUGGGGGAAUUAUUCAUGCUAAAGAUCACACUUCAAAGUAAACAAUAAUUGUCAUUUGUUGCCUGUUAAAAAAAGAAAAAAAUGAAAGCUGGAAAUCAAACUAAUGAGUACAUUUCCUCAAGGGAACAGACAGAACUGGGAAUAUGAUCAUUUUGCAAAGCUUCUGAUAAAUACAUAGGUUGCUCUGAAAGAAAUGCUGCUUUAUUUCUGUGGCAACUACACUGGAUGCAAAGAACACGAUAACACUGAUAGAGCACAUUUUCAGCUACAAAACACUUUUUCAACAUAGUCACCACCAUUAGCUGUGUAUUUUUGCCAACUAUGAAGAGGACUCUGCGUGCUGUGCACAAAAAAUUCUGCACAAGCAGAUGUGACCCACUGUUUCACACCUGUUACGGUGGCAUCACUGCUAGGAAAAUGUUGCCUAUGCGGUCCGUCUGAAUAGAUGGAAGUUGGAAGGCACCAAUUCCAACUGUGUGGUGGGACAGUCCAGCCAAGAUUGUCAAUGUGUUCCAUGGUCUUCAAACAGGUACAGGGCCUGGCAUUACUGGAUUGUGAGAGAAAUGUUGUCGUCUUCUCUGGCCUGACUCUAUUAGUUUGAGCCCCCAGCUCAGUGAGCAUUGUGAUGUAGCAGUCAGGAUCUGCACUCUACCUUAGCUUUGUGAACCCAGUUCUGGAUAUAACAUGUCUCAAUUUACACAGGCCAGGAAGUCUGCAAAGAGAGUAAGCUACAGUAGAUUUUCUGAUGAGCCACUGCUUUACAGCCUCCUGGUUAAGACUUCAUUUCAGGAAGCUAAUAUGACUUUAUAAAAACCAAAAGUAGCUGCAUUCGAACUUACUAUAUGGUUUAUCCCACAGGACAGUUCUCAACUACCUUGAGUCAAGUACAGGAUGAAUGGUGUUCUCUAAGAGUUCAUGAAUAACAUGGGAAACCAGACUUGUCAUAUGGUUCUGGGACUCAGACACUGUGUCUCUACUAAUAAGUUAAAUGGUGCCAAGGAACGUUCCCAGGAGCUGGACCCAGUCUGUCUGUCUGUGUAGCUGCACUGCCAGAGCGAUCCUUUUGCCAUAGAGAUGCAGACCUCUAUUUUGAUAUUUGAUAUUUUGGAUUUGCUGAAUGACCACAGCCAACAAAAUUAUUUCAUCAGCUAGUUUCUGACCUUUAAUAUCUGACCAUAUAUUUUAAAGUGUGAGAGAUACCUAUUUUACAUUUACUCCAGCUCCAUAAGGAAUGCUGUACGGACAGGAAUUCAGCAGAAAAUUUCCACUUAUUUACCAUUUACUGUCACUGAAAUUCAAGAAGUUAUUUCAAAAAAUGAGGAAAAAAUACUGUGAUUUCUACUAUUUGUUUCUUCUUGGAAGUUCCAUGGAUCAUUUAUCAAUGAACAAAAGGCUAAUUAAAAGGCUAGACCUAGUGCAAUUACUUUGAUGAACUUUGAGAGUGGUUGUUUAAUGCCAUAGCCUUCAUUAUGUUAUGCUAAAUAUGUUCUCUGCAAGUUUGCAUCCCAAAGAUGAUGCUGUUUUUGUUGGACUAGCUUGAGGAAAAAUGCUGUAUGUUUGAGCUCUUGGGAUGAGUGUCUUACUUGGAAGGUAGGAAGAAAAUGUUGAUGUUCUCUGGAUUUGUGUGUGUUAAAGCUGACAAUUCAAGACGUGUCUGUGGUAGUUUUAUUCCUUAGCUCCUAACAGAAACCUGUCUCCCUGAGCUGAUUCCAGAUUUAUAAGCACAGUGUGUACAUUGUUACAGCACAGAGCGCAGGAUAAUUAAACAGCUGCUUAGCACUGAGCUCCUUCAUUCUUCAAUAAGCAGAUGUUUUGUCUUGUUGCUGAUUUCAAACAACCCACGAUAACAUACUAUAUGCAUAGCAUUACUCAUAUUUUUAAUAUUUUGGUGCUUUCCUAUCCAAAGAUCAAAGCUCCAUGCCCCAUUACAUGAGGUUCUGCACAGGCCGUUAGCACAGAAGAGAUCUUAAGUGAGUGCCAAUCAGUGCGUCUCCACUGAAUCCAGGGGAGCAACAGCAGUUCGCGCUGGCUGACAUUUCCCUUGCAGAUGUCAGACGAGAUGCCAUGAUUUACAUACCAAUGGCGGUGAGUGGGAGGAUGAAGUAACAAGAGGAGCAGAAAUGUGCAGGGAUGCAGAAGUCGGAGCUUGCCAUUUGCCUUUCUCCUGCAGCUGAACAAUGGCAAUCUGAGUUAUUCAUUCCCAUCCACCUCUUAACAACAGGAUUCGCUUCUGAUGAUAUCUUGUGGCCUUUUGAGUAUGUUAGCAGAGGAACUAGAUUCUUUUCUGUAUUUGCCUUCUGUGUUAUCAGACACAAUAAGCAAUUCCCAAAAGGCAGAUGAGGUGAAUAAAGCAAAGUAUCAGGUUAAAUGAUGUAUAUUCCUUAUCCAUUUAGGAAGGUGUUUAUGCAUCGUCGUUUUAUGCUUUGUAUUUGCUGGAUUUAUGAGUGGCAUUUGUGUGCAGAGCCAUGAAAGCAGAUGGAGCCCCGAAGGAGGAGCCCUUCUAUCCCACCCAGUUUGUGGUCUCCCUGUCUGCUGCUGAAGCUGCUUCCUGGGGCAGUGCGUUCAGCUGCUAAGAGCGUGUAAAUAGAAGGAGAAAUAUUAUAAAUGUCAGGAAGUGGCAGCCAGACUGUUCCAAGGUUGCGUACUGCGUGCUUGUGAAGCAAGAUGGCCUGACUCCAUUAUCAGUGUUGUCCAUCAAACGCUGAUUUCCAAAGGUCUGUAUCUUCCACUUACUGAUAUUUCCAUUUGUGUACUUCACUGGGAAGAGUUUCAGACAAUGUUGAUAAUUUUGGACUUCCUGAUCCUUAGGAGGAAUAAAUUUGCCCUGCUAGGGAACGCACUGUUCCUAUCCCUAACUGAGUUAUACGCAUUCGUACGUAAUCUCAGUAUAACUAUAAUGGGAAUACAAUUUAUACUUUAAUUUAUGCUUGUUCUCUGGUUGGGAAAAUGCCCAUGAACUGUGAGGAAGCAGAUCUGCUUGUUCUAUAGAUAAACUGUUGUUGUAUGUGGUUCACAUCCUGCAUUUUUAUGUAUCGUUCCAAUUCCUCAGCUGUUUCCAAUUCAUGUACCUUUCUGAAAGUGAAUGAAGCAGCUGUGCCAAAUUCAGAGCCUGGCUGAGUCCAGCUUCAUGUCUGGAGGAGCUGAAUUUCCCAAGGCUGGUGCUUCACCAUUAACUGAUGCAGAAGAAAUUAGAAUUCCUCUUUCCCUUUCACAUAAUGGCAGAAUUCUGAAAUUAUUGUGUAACAUGCCCUUCCUCCCAUUACACGGUCUUCAUUCUGUUCACCAUUAUUUUUAAUAGACCAAUUUUCUCUCUUGCUUUUCAUCCACCGAGUCUUUACUAUUAUUAUCAUCAAAGUGUCUGUGGGCUGCCAGCAUUUGAUAUUUCAUUUCACUGAUUUAAUUAUGUCUGCAGCCUGUUCUGGGGCUGUUUAUUUUUAUAGAUCUCCGAAUCCUCUUCUUUAUCAAAUUGUUUACAUCUGAAUCCAUUUGUUCACUGUUUAUAUGUCACUUUGCAAUUGUAUCCUUUUGUACUUUGCAUUUGUUCCUGAGGGGUGUUUUAGUUUGAUCAAAUUUUACAACUUUGCAGGCAGACAACUAAAAGGAGAUCUUCCUAUCUAGGGGUGAAAGGCAGCUCUGGACACAGCUAACACCAUCUGCUUUUUCACUUUAUGCUUCCUGUGGGCAUAUGUGAGCAUGGAGCCACGUCUGUUACCAGCUAUUGGGAACUGACAGCUCAUGGGAAGCUGGCAGAGUGUUAGAUUAAAGGAAGAGAUGUUUUACACACCUUGCUCUUCCAUGUGCAGUUUACAUAGGGUAUAAAUACAUAGGUAAUGUAGGGUAUAUGUAAACAGGGUGUUUACUGAGCUUAGUUUAGUUUCCAAAGAAUGGAGGUUCUUUGGCUCUGGGCAGCCUGGUCUAGAGGCUGGCAACCCUGCCUGUGGCAGGGGGGUUGAAUAUAGAUGAUCUUUGAGGUCUUUUUCAACUUUUCAACCCAGGCCAUUCUAUGAGUCUGUGACGCUUUACUGCAGAGGGUUGCAGAAGAGGAUGACAGCUUUGAAUUUUGCUGACUGACCUCCUGUCACUGCAACUACUUUAGUAGUGGUGAUGCACGUAUGCGUGCACGUGCUGUAGUUCUGUUGAGUUUCUUGCUUCUACUAUAAUUAAGAGUCCAUAAAUAAGUGCUUCUAAUGCACUUGACUAGAGAAAGUAAUUGCUAUUUAAAUGGAUAAUUUAUUGUGUGCUAAUUAAAAGCCCAAUAGGUGAGAACAUUUUAAUGAAAUGUAACUUAACUCAAUAAGGAGGUUUUUAAUAAUCAUUAGUUGCCUGAAAUAUACCUGAUGCAGCAGUUCUCUAAUGACAAGCUCUAAUUGAUGUUUUUAACAUGUAUUUAUUGUGGAUAAAUUGCUAUUUUGUUGUAUAUCUCUCUUUCCCUGUCUUUCAAAUGCACAGCUUCCCAGCUGGAGGCCCCAUUGUGCCUUAUUACAGUCUAUUCUUCCCUGCUUUGGCAACCCCUUUUGCUGGUCAACUCAUCUCAGUUACACUCGCAUGAAGCAGGAUGUGAGCAAACAGAUGUGGGGAGCUGCCAGUUUCUACCAAAGAAAAGGUGCUAGCUUUUAAUUUCAGUUGACUAUUAGAACGUACAGUAGAGAUCUGCCUUCUUUCCCUGUUUGACUUACAGUAUGAGGCAAAGAAACCCUCGAAGUGUCCAGGGUUCCAAGUGCUCAUCUUAGAGCAGAAUGAUUAUGCAAAAAUGGUAAACCUCAGUGUCUCUAGGUAAUAAAUUUCACUUUCAAAGAAGGAAGCUUAAGAACAGGCUGGAAAGUGAAUGUGCCUCACACAAUGGAGCAGCGUGCCAGCUUUGUUUGAAUUGAGCAACCUGGAAGAAUCUGAGCUGGGAACAAGUAGCAUCUGAUUUAAGGACUGAGAGAGUAGAUGGCUGAUUUUCUUCGCAAAAAUAGCAUGAGAAAGCUGUACUGACCUUUCCAGGAUGAGAGGUAAUGGCUUAAAUUGCCCCAAGGGAGGUUCAGGUCAGAUAUCAGGAAGAAUUUCUUCUCAGAGCAAUGAGGCAUUGGCACAGGCUGCCCAGGGAAGUGAUGGAGUCACUGUCCCUGGAGGUGUUCAGGAGAAGCAUAGAUGUGGCACUGAGGGACCUGGUUUAGUGGACACGGGGGGGAAUGGGUUCGUGGUUGGACUGGGUGAUCUUAGUAGUCUUCUCCAGCCUUUAUGAUUCCAUAAUUUCACUGUGCUUUUCUGGUGUCUUUUUCCAGCACUGGGCAAUGACUGUUCUUAUGUUUCUGAGAAUUUAAAGAAUGGUCUUCUGAGACUGAAAUGCACAGGACGUAGAGCGGAGGCUGUUAGUAGCUCUGGUGGGAUGGGGUAACCCUUAAAAAGUCACUGCACUUUCCUGGGCCUCCUUUUCCCCCACUGUUAAAUGGAGAUAACUACAUGUUUCCUUCAUGAAGCCAUUUGGUAUGUCUUGUUGAAAAAUCUAUAUAUAAGUGUUCAUCAUUUUUGUCACUCAGGCACUGAUAUAGGAAUUUCUGGAGCACUCCUACAUGUUGAGAAUCACACUGAUACUGUGGAUGAGAAUAUUAAAUUCUGGUGCUGAACCUGGCUAAUUUGAAAAUGACGUAUUUUUCUAGAGUGAUGCCUCAGAUGCAUCUUAUAUAAGAAAAUGAAUUACAUUUAUAGCUAGAAAGGACUGCAGGAUUUUAUGAUCAUCUCAGCACUCCUGUAUUUAGUAAAUUAUCUUGUGUUUGAUUAUGACAGGGUACCUCUUGGCUUAUGUCAAAGUUCUUGUUUCCUGGAGUUCUCCCUGUUUCCUGGAAACUAAACUCUGGUGGAAAGCAUUUGUUACUUUGGUUGUUUUUUUUUCUUUUUCUUUUUUUGGUCUGAUUUGUUUGUUUGGGUUUUUUUUUUUUUUUUUUUGUCUUUUAAGUCUAAACAACCCAUUGGUCCUACAGCUCUUUGGUUCCUGCCACUGAAAGGAGAUACCCAUAGAUUAAAUAGUUAAAUAUGAAACCCCCUUGGGGUUUGAUCUGAUGAAGAUGAUGCUUAUUUAGAGAAGGAGCAAAUACUUUAACAAGUACUAUCCUGAUGAACUAUCUAACUUGACUUCUGAGAAGUAACUAUUAAAUGGAGAGAAGAAACCAUGAAAUGUAAGAGCGAGUUUGAAUGCUGGUAUCAUAAUCUGAUCGUAGUCAUGCAUCAUAAUUAAAUGUUAAUUUAAUUGUGGGCUUCGGAUGUCAUGUUUGGAAUUCUCAGUUUCAAUCCAGUUUUUAUUAAACAAUGAAGAACCUUCUGAAGGAUUCAGAAUAACAGUUCAACAAAUCAAGUCAACAAACAGGGAUCCACUUUAAGGUAAGAAAGAGAAAAUAGUGGGCAAAAGCUGAUAGAGUGCACUGGAUGCAGGCAGAAUAGUCAGAGGAAAACCAAUAGGGCAUGAUUUGGAGAGACAGUAUCUUUCACACAACCAAUAGCAUUUGGAGAAAAUGAACAAGCUUUCAAGCACUUAAAUGCUUCCGCAGGUCUGGCAAAGAAAACAAAAAACUUGAAGCUUUGUCCGUCCUGUAAAGAAAUUAGCGUUUAACUUAAGAUAAUCACCUGGACAAUUAGGGAGACAAAAAGGUGAACUCCUUAGCCAUAACGGAGCAUCUGGGGAUACAAACAAAAAGUCAAGAGUUAAUGUGCCCCUGCAAGCCAGAGAGAGAGGGAGUGGGAGCUUAGAAAGAGCUCUUGGGAAAGGUGGGUACCACCAAACCGUUGCCUCUGCUGGCUCCACGGGUUUUAGUGCCUGGGAGAACUCUGAAUUUAAUGUCCCAAAUAUUUGAGUAGUGUCCUCUGGGGCAACUGGUACAUUAGGACUCAGAAAAUUAAUUGCCAGACUUGCACCUAAUUGUACAACAAAGCAGUAAACCAAUUCUGGAAAACCACAGUGAGGACUAAUUCAGAAGUGUCUUAACACAGAAUACGAAGAACGUUCUUUCCUCCUCUCAGCUCCAGAUUUCUACCCCAAAUGUUAAAGAAGAAACCUUAAACUUGUCUGAAUUACAAGCAAAACUGUCAGCCUCCCUCAAAAUGGGGAAAGAAAGUACUUCUGAAAUGCUUAUGCAUUAUAUAACAUGUACCCAUAUAUCAUUUAUACGGACAUUAGCAACUUGUGUUAUUUCCUCAUUUUGGAGGUGAUGCAUUAAAAGUGAAAAUGCCACUACUGCCAUUUUCUUCUUACAUAAAGCAGCUUUGUGUCUACAGUGCCUGUGUGCAGAUCUUCUCCAUGAUUUUCAAAAAGCUGAUUGAAGGCCAUUGCAGUAGCUUGGGUAGGGUGGCCAAACAGAUGAAGAUGGCAUAUAAAGAGCCUGGUUGGCAGCAAUGCCAAUUUCAUGCACAUGCCCUGCCUUGAUUAAAGUAGAGAUGUUUGCAUAUGUCUUGUGUCCAAAGGCAUUUUUGAUGCACAUCUCCUGCUGAGCCAGCAAAGCUCCUCUCACGCCUAUUGCUUUUGCAUAGCAGAUACACAUUAAUGGAAGCAGUCAGAGCAUGCAUCUACCUGGUUCAUAAUUUGCACAUCUCUGGAAAUAUCCUUAAAAUGCAGACGAAGUUUAAAAAGAAAUAGUAGAGAGUUGCAAAAAAUCCAGAUUAACAGUUGAAAGUUGAAAUAGUUUAUCCUCUUACACAGGGGUAUUAAUUACAAAGCGUAUCUUCAGUCUCAUUUGCAGAGUUUCCCUUUCGCUAUCUGGAACCUGAAGCAGUAGAUUAAUGAGAGAGGCUGGGAAGGUGCCACCUUGUAAGGAGCUGCAUGGAAACGAACCACUUAAAAGGCACAAACAAGUUUUAUUGCAACUGUCAAACCUAGGAACCAUAGAGGACAAAACACCACUCCUAUUCACAAUGAAGGAGCCACCUCCGAUAGCAAGGCUUUGCCACCACCGCGGGACACCGAGUGCCGUGAGCGGUGCUGAACUGAGCAAUGAGGAGGAGAUGGCUGCACACAUAGCAUGGAAGCUUUGACUUUAUGGUGUCUCCAACUCAGAAAAGCCUGCUUGUGGACCCAAAGCCCAGAGGAGAUACUUGCUAUAACUGCCUAUAAAAGGAGAACGUGAGGGCAUGCUGUCAUCCAGCACAAGUCUCACCUAUCAAAAAGGAAAAACGUACUGAACUGAGGGAUCCAGCAUGGAACGAGAUGACAGGUGAGGCACAGCAACACAAAUAGGCAGCAGUGAAUUGGACAAAUCUGCCACCUGCAAGCAGAGAGCAUGAGCUCAGCUAGUGCAAGAAUCUGGUGGCUCUGUGCUGCCCUGCUGGAAGGUCUCCUGACGCCUCCGGACUCCUGCUUCCCUGUAACCACUCCAGUCUCUUCCUGUCACAAUGAAAUCAUUCCUGCUGCAGUGAAGGGAUUAAUUAGGUCUACCAGUACUUCACUACCCUCAAUCCUAACUGAAAAUCAGACAGCUUUUCCUGUUUCGCACGUCUGUGCUCAGAGAUGUGACUGACCUAACGCUUGGCACCUUAGAAAAAUCAUGCCCCAGUGUGGAUCAAGACUCAGGAAACAAAUCCUCUCCAUAACUGCGCAGAGCAGGGCAUAAGCUAAUGCCAGAAUGAUGUGAUGCUUGACGCUUUGACCUUGCUUUCUGUGCAAGACUCUCCAAGCUUCAUACCACUGGGAGCGCAUCAUUUGUGACGAGCAAAAAAGUCAGAGCAACUGGUUCUUAAAAGAUUUGUCAUAGUUUUGCUUUAAAAAUAAUUCAUCUCAUAGCUGAAUUCAGUAUUUUGGGUCAGUUAUAAUUGAAUCUGCUCAGACAGAGAAGUUAUAUGAGACUAAUUACCUACUGUCUCUACUCGAAGUAAAUAUUAAAGGCAAGAAAAAUAAACAUGGGCUGAAGUGUGAUAUGCAAAUCACAUUGAUAACUAUCAGGUUAAGACCAUGAAUUUAUAUUCUUUUAAUCAUUAUGAGGUUUAGAUGGUAUCUCCAGCAAAGAAAAGUCAGUAUGAUGGUAUAUGACUGUCUAUGAUUUGGUCCCUAAUUGCAAACAACAAAAAUACAUUAACCUGCUUGUAUCCUGUGUCUCAUUAUUGUCAUAAAAAUGAUAAGAAAAUUCCUUCUUUGUGAAAUCCAAGCUGCUUUACUCUUUUCAAGGACUGCUUUUGUAAGAAAGGAGAGUAAGGCUUAGGUCACUUAUACUGAAUAUAAGGUAGAGGGAGAUGUUUCAGAAGCAGAGCACUUUAAACAUCUUUAUUCCUACCAAAGUUAAUAAAGUGAAGCCAAUUCUGAGCACUUCUUCAAGCUGCAAUGGAUUUGCUAUUAGUUUUCCUGCAUGAAAAUAUGAUGAAGAACAUAAUUGGAGAAAAGAUAGUUCGAGAAAUAACUUCACAAUGGCAUUACUCUCAAAGAAAAGACAAAAUCAAAAUAUCCUGGGUCUGGUUAAGGCAGGCAAGGACUUAAAAUGAGACUGGGCAUGAAAGGGAUGGAGAAAAGAAUGGGGUGUAAGUUAUGACAUUUUCACCUUUUCAUAUGCAAAUUCUUGAUGAAAAAUCCUUAGAAAAAGAAGCUAGAGUAACUUUCAAAGAUCAGAACUACCUUCUUUUCCUUUUCUCCUUUUUCCUUUUCCUUCCUUUUUUUAACUUUUUUUUUUUUUUUUAAACUUUUCUUCUCUGUUCCUGCAGGGAAGUGUUUAUAGGGACACAUGAGAUCCUGACAGACAUUUCCACUGACCCUCUUACAUGAGAUUUGGCUCAACCGCUCUCCUCUAAGACGGUCUGUGAUUUUGGCAGCCCGAGGCCCAGGGUCCCUUCCAGGGCUGCUGGGCCUGCAGCCACCAUACUGACAUUGGCCCCUUGUAACUGGGAACAGUUAGUGGGAGCUCCUAAAAAUACACAGAAGCAAACAAGGAGCUAAUGCUGCUGCUUUGUGCUCAGAGAAGAUGCAUUAUUCAUACAGUACAUAGACAAAAUAGAGAGAAGAUGCCUGGCAAAGCCCCCAGAAUGGCUUAGUUACCCUCGAGUAAAAACUUCUAUUUGUUGAGUAGACUCCAUAAAUAUAGCAGGACUCCUGAAAUGUCCAGAUGUUUCUGAGCAGAUGAAGAAUGUUCUCUUUCUGAAAGCUUACUGAAUUUUUUAUUAUCUCAUGCACUGUUUGCGUGGGCAGGUCUUCUGAGUGAGUCAGAGCAAACAGCAAUCACUGCUGCAGGUAUCCAGCGAGAGAGGACAAUUCCUUAACCUGGGAGCUCCUAAAGAGGUCCUAACGUGCAGAGUGCUGAUACAUACACAGAAAAUAAUCACUGAAUCAAUGAGCUAAACUUCUCUGAGGGACCUUAACGUAGCCGUGCUGUAAAGAAAGGAUUACUUAGCAUUGAUAGCCAUGCCCUCAGAUAUAGCCGUGGUGGUGUGCUCUCAGGCACACAGACCUCGCUCUUCCAUGGGAGACACAAUGCCAUAGGAAGAUUCUGGAGUUAAGGCAGAUAUUGAGUUAGCCCUCUCUAUUGAAUUGGAGUUUUUGCAGAUGGGAAAUAGUUUCUUCUCCAUGGUAAUUCUUUAGUAAUGCCGCUCCACUUGGACCAAUUUAAACUGGAAGAAAAAGGUCUGCCUGUGAUAUCUCUGCCUCAGUAGGACAGCAUGACCAGAUUUAUAUCUUUACCUUGCAUUUUUGUCCGGAGGGCUUACGCUUUCAUCUGAUUAUGCUCUCUCUUGUGAGAUUCUCUCUAUGCUUAAAAUAGAAAAUACCACUAACCCCAGGACUGCUGAUAGGGCCGGAGUGCCUCCAAACAGCAGUCUUCUGCGUUCACUCUCCCUUACACCAACCCUGCAUCUUCUCUAUUUCUGCUACUACCACCAACUUAGUGCCAGCCAUAUGUAUUUAAGGGGUUGAGCUGGCUUCCUUGACUUGAUAAUCAAUGUGUGAUUAUUUUGUGGUUUUCCAUGUGGAUUUUAGUUUCUCCAGUUCCUGCUUCUAUUGCACACUAAAGAUUUCAUUUACUCGAAUGCUGCUUUUGUAUGCUUUCUUUAUGGAGCAUAAAAGAACCUAGAAUGAUUUUUGAGUGUGUCUAUACGCUUGUUAUAUGUAUUUGUUCAUGCUUUUCUGAAGCUACACACACCUGCACGUAUAUAUGUAUUUACAUUCCUGUAACUGUGUGUAACCAAAAUGAGAUGAUGAGCUGAUGAAGACCACCAGCAAAUAAUAUAAAAUAAUAUAGUAGUGCAACCUUAAUGCAGUGUUCAGAGUUGCACCUUGACUCCAGCCAGGACUGAUCAGACUCUGCUUAGUUCUGAAACAUCAGUCACUGUGUAUGACAGCCUCCCUCACCCCUUCUCUCCCUUUGCUCUUGUAAUGCAUCCUUGCAUGUAAGCCAGCUUGAGCAGCUGGAAGCUUGACUGCAACCUAACCCCAUUUUGAAUCAUGCCCAAGAUGCAACAGCCAGAUUUCUUACUGCACUAUUUUAAAGCAUAGAUGCAAGAGGCAUCGGCAUCUAUGUUUUGUGGCCCAGCAAAUGUCAUGGCAAGGCAAGUGGGAUGGAUGGCUCCUCCCCAGGUGCAGGGUUGCAAAUCCAGUUCACCCCUUCCCUACCCCUCAAGCCAUGUGGCAGGCUGUCUGGAAGCAUAGCAUUGUUCAUCACAUUAAUGUUCAGCUGUCGUGGAUGUGAAGAGGAAGUCAAGGGCUCACAGAACAGAAGAGAUGGACAGAGCAGACCUUUGAGGAGGAACAGCUUUGCAGCUUAGCAGUCAGCACACGACCUGGGGAAAGCCAACAAGGAGCUGGGAGCACUUCUUAGACACACAACAUUAAAAAGCUGUUACGUAAAACCCAGAAACCAUGCAGGGUCAAGAGGCAGGACCUGAAGUUUCUCUUGCCAGCCCUGUGCUCACCUUCAUCUUCCCUGCAUCAUCACUGAUAGCUCUCCUGUCUCUGUGCAGUAAGGUGCCCUUGCCAGGAUAUCUGUCAUUUUCAUCAGUUCCCAUCGCUCAGCUCUUCAAAACUUCCUACUAGUGUCAUUUAGGCUCUCUCCUUCUCAUUGGCUCCUUCUAGCUGCUAACAUAUACCAGCAAUUUUCACAGUCGCCUGCUUUCCAUCUGUUACAGUUUCACUGAUGUUUUUUUGUCUGACUUCCUCUAUGAUCUCAGCUUGCUUUUGUUGAAGUUAUACACUUUUCCAUCCUUGCUGUGAGUUUUUGGAUUUUUAGGCAUCAAAUAAAAAAUCUCUAAACAGUUCUUAACCACAUUUCACCCUAUUUCAGUUACAUCUCACAGAUGAUUCAAUUCAUAACAGCUUUCGGUUUGGUGACUUCAGAGGUACACAGAUAAUUGAUUGGGAUUUUUUCCUCAUGGUAUAUAAUGAAUGUAAUCCAGUCACGCUCUCUUGCACCUUAAGUAUUUCCUAACUUCCAGGCACGUGGUCAGUCCUUAAGCAGUAGUGCUCCCAGCUCUGCCAGCAACACUUUAAAAUGCCCUUUAUAAUUUCAAACAGUUCUGAUGCUGGAGUAUCCCAGCACAAGCCCUCCUGCACCUGCCAGACCCUUGCCAGCCCACCUGAAAGCUCCCCUCCCAGAGCAACAGGAAAGGAGCUCCAUUUCCACUUGGUUGUGCAGUUUCCCUGUCCUCAGCCAAGGGGAUCCUUCACCAUGUGUGCUGACCCUCUGGGCUGUGAACCUGCUUCAGUGUUGUCUCCCUCUAAGUGGGCCACGGAACUUUGAUUCUAGCAUUUGCUGCCCUCUUGUUUUUACGCUUUCCAAAUCAUCGUUACUGCUUUGCACAUACAAGUUAUAUGAAGCUUUUGGGUUUCAGUGGCAGAAAGGCCAAGUAUAUGUUCAUAACCGAACAGUUCCAGUUCUUUGGCAAUUUAGAACACCUCUUUCAGUCCCUUGGUGUCCUGACCUCACAUGGAGCUGAUUCAAAUUUUUAAUUCAUCCCGUGGCUAAAAGCUUCUUGUCCUCAGUGGCAGAAUGGUUAGAAGGCAUUUCAAGAUUGCCUGAAGACAACCGCAUUCAGGACUACUCUUUGGCAGGGAACAUCUCAAGUCAUGCAUCCCUCACGGCCCUGUCUCCAGAGUUCACGCUUGGUAUGCCUACACUUGAGAGAGGAGCUGCAGGCCCUCAGGGUUUUCUUUCAUCACUAAGGACAAAGGCAAGAGAUGCCAAGCAGCAUCAGAAGAGCCAAUCACAGUGCUAUGAACAAAAGGUCCCCUAAUGCCUUGGAUAAGACCAGCAAUUUCACAGUCUGCAGAAGGGAACGACUGAGGAAAUUCUGUGGAAUUCAGUAGAAAUCCUGAACAUUUUUCAUUACGAUAAUAAAAGAAACGAAGCGUUAAGUGGGAAGGAAAGGUGCUGAAGGCUACAAGAAAAGCAUUGCCUGCUUUACCAGUAACAGUGGUUCUGAGCAGUAGGCCUAGGUGCCUAGAGAAAAAGGAGCGUGGGCUUCGCUGAGAGGCCUACAAUGGCACCGAGGAGCCUUCAGAGAUGAAUGGCAGCUGAUUUCCCACAGAUCGAUGAUUUCCUGAGACAGAUUUCAUUCUGAAGCAGCGAACACAAAAUUUACAUAGCCAGAGUAUUUUUUACUGAAGUGAAAAUUGAAACAGCUAAACUGUGUUUAUGCAUGUGUAUGCAUAUGUAUCAACUUUCCUUCCUCACUUGACAUGAUUGCAAAAGAAAUUUCCAUCCUGACUUUUCACACCCACAUGGGUACAGGAAGAAGAAAUUUAAAGGUUGCUUGAAUUUAUGUAUCCACUGUGAAAUUCCUGAGUACUGAAAAGUACAUGUUGGUGAGGAGAUAUGAGUGCUGUGUAAUUUACUGUGUGAGUGCUUCCAAGUGAAAUGUUACUGUACAUCACAUCGCACUUCUUACUGAGUGGGAGUUCACCUUGCUUAUCUUUGGCCAAAGUUUUGCAGUGACAUUCGCUGUGCAAAACCUACCCUUUACCUUAGCUAAGUGGUGCUAUAGAAGCAAUAGUUAGCAGCUGGAAACACCUAAACAGCAUGGAGCAAUUUCCUGUGUUUAACAGACAAGAAUGUAAUUUUACCUAUAUAGUUAUUUGUUUCAAUUUUAAGUUAUUCAUUGGAAUCAAAUCAUGAGAAUAGAGUACUUCCAGUAAUUUCCUCAAUUAGGAAAUGAAACGUGAAAUUCUUAAAACCAGUUUUACAAUAAGUAGUGGAGGAGAUGCUCAAAAAACCUCUGACUGAGACUUAUUCAAUGCCAGAGAUACUCAGAAUGGGCUUUAAACCAUAAAAUUCACACGUUAACUUGAAUUUCAUUUCUGACUGGUUGGCAUGACUGGCUUAUCACCAUGUCUGUGUGUUUGCAUGUCUAAGUGUAAAUAAGUGCAUUUUCCUUGCCUUAUAAAGACAAUGUCAUAGAUUUGACUUUUCUGCCUUGGGCAGCAAGCCCCACAGAUGAUUAUAUGGGGAUAAAACAUAUGUCAAAGAAAAUGUUUCUUAGCUCUCUUGAAUGCAGUGCCAAUUAUGUCAGGCUAGCUCUUACUGCUUUAAAUUAAAACCAUACUUCAUCUCAGAAUUAAUUUAAUUUUCUGGAAUAAAUGCGCUUAAAAAAUCCAACUUGGAUUCUCCAAAGGAUAAGGGUCAGCUAUUCAGGGCAUCUGAAGAAUAGCAUAAGAGUCAUAUUCAGGCAGCCUAAAUUCAACCCGAAUCACUGUGCUCAGGAUUUCUUAUCAACCUGCUGUAAGUCUGUAGAGCACAGGGACUAUUCGACUCCUGGACCGAGAUGGAAUUUAAAUCCUGGAUAUUCAGCAAACCAUUUCCUAAUUCUUUAUGUUACUGAAGGAAGUGACCCUAGCAAGACUUGAUAGGCAUUAAAGGGUGGCCUAUUUAAACAAAGGGCAGCCCUCAGUUGUCAGUGAUUUUCACUAGUCUUAAAAGAGGAAAACAAUCCUUAUAUCUAUUGAAAAUCUACUUCUGGAUCUGCCCCCUAAAACAGUAUUAUCAGAAAGAUGUAUUUCCCUUGCUUUUGUAAUGCAAAGGAAUCAUAGACAUCUUUGCUUUAAGAGGCAAGAAAGGUAACUAAUUCUAUACUGUCAAAAAUUUUAUCUUUUGAAAAGUAGGGUGAUGAAUCAUAGCCAAAAAAAAGCCCCGUGGCCCCGGCUCCAAAAACCAAACAAUCCAGCAAAAAUAAAGAACAAACCAAAUCCUAUUGGUUUGUCAUCCAUCUGUGUUUCAAACAAUCAGAAACAACAGCAUCACGUAUCUUCUGGUCUAUACCUCCCUGGCCAUUCUAAUUAAUACUGGCUCAAGGCAGUAUUUAUUUCUUAGCUCGUGAGAUAAUAGGUUAUUGACUGACCUGUGAGGUAAUAGCCAAUUCUGUGUCUCACGUAGGAAGUGAUUGUGUGGAUUGAAGUUUGCCAUUGAUUUUGCUUCCAUACACUCAGGGGGACCAUCUAUAUAACUGUCACAUAAAUAAGAAGAAAAGGCCCUUAGUGACAUUUACUGACUUCUGAAGAUUCCUCACCUGCAUCCACUUGACAUUACUGUGGCCAGACCAAAAACCCACUGAACUCACCACUAACUUCAGUGCAGUUCACCAGACCUUCCUUAUAUGAAGCAGGGAAAUAGGAAGAGCUGACAACCUGAAGUCAUGGACUGGUGCAACAAUAAUGUAGAUUCUACAUCUUCUUCAUCCUGUGCUAUUUGCCAUCUCCUAACUGCACGGAUUCUGAGGACCCAUGAGAAGCAUGAAAUAUCUGUAGUGGUAUCUUAAAGGACUGAAAAAAAGCAGAGAGAGAUUAAAAUCAGAUACCAGUGGAGCUUUAAGUGCAAUGAAUUGAAAGGAAAUAAGGAAAGGUGAGCAUACGAUCACAAACACAGAACUUGGUACAAUUUAGGAGCUCCAUUCUACUGAAAGCUUCAGGAGUAGACAAACUGGUGUCACUGCAGAAUAUUUGGUAAAAAAGUACUUGUUUCAUCUGUAUCGUUUUGGUUAUUCAAAAUCAUAAACAGUGCCUUGGAGAGCAGAACGAGGAUAAAUAGAAAAGUUUCAGCUUUUCUGAAACACGUAUUUCUGUAAUGUGCUUCAGAAAGAAGGAGGUUUCAGUGAGUCAGUGUGCUGCUGCAAGAGUUGGAGUUCCUCUGGUAAAUUUUUGUCACGGUGGUAAUUGCAGAAAUAAGCAGUUCCUCCACCACUCACCCAUUUAUACCUCUCUCAAUAUUAAAUUAACUAACUCCCUUUUGGGAGCCAUUUGGAGAAUGAUCAGCAAAAACCAAACGCAGAAAAUUACUGAAAUCUCUGUUGCAUUCUUCUGUUGGUAUUACUGGGAAAUAUCAUCCGUUUCUUCUGGCCAGUGAUUUUCCCAGAUGCACAGAUCAUUUGCUGGCUGCCCUGCUUAGACCCAUGUCCUGUCUAAAGCCAAAGCUUACAAAGGCUCUUUGAAAAGUCUUUUUGAGACGGUGUGCUGGCUAAUUAAACAUUUAUUAAACAUCAUAGUAGCUUGAGAAUUAAUUUCACCUUCCUGUUUCUCAAGCCUCAGCUCUUUUCUAAGCUUUGACUGUACCCCUGACUUCAGCUGCUUGCCUGGCUUGGUUAGGAUUUCCCAGUUUGCUUGUACACCUGUGUGUCAUUUGCAGGGAAGAUGCUGCUCAUUAAGAUACACGAUGGGGAUCUUAAAAGGCAUUCAUUUAUUUGACAAAAAGGCAUAUUGGAACAGUACUACUAGGUGGCACGUGCACCUUGUUUUUAUUAAGUCACGUAGUAGGGAAAAAAUUAAUAUAAAAUCCAAGGAGAACAUUGAAAGCUAAUUUGCCUUAAGGUACAGAAGCUUCUGAAAAACUGCUAUUUUUUAUUCAAAUAUUACAGGGACAUAGCAUUUUUAUUCUCUCAUUUAUGUCAUUUAGGAUAGCUAAUGAUAUAUUAUUACACGACCCAAAGCCAGCGUUGCGUUCUCUUCCUUGUAUCUGGUACUGCUUUUCCAACUACUUUGUUCCACCCAAACCAUUUCAGAUACAGUCUCAAUUACAGAAAAUAAUAGGAUUCCUGAGGAGGUGUAAAUGCAUACCGUGGCAUGGCUGUCCUGCACUGAAAUAGCUGAAGAGCCUUUCUGCAUUUCCACAACAUGGGCUGAGGGUGCUCACGUGCCUUCCAUAGAACAAUCUUCAAGGAUUUUGUGCGACAUCAACGUGCUAAAUACUAUCUGCCUGAACUGGGGAGGAUGUCUCACAGUUUAAUUGAGCACAUUCAUUACAAUUGCCAAGGAAGGACCAAUAUCUGCUUUCUUUUCCUGUGAAUUCAAUACAGACCCAACAGCAACUGUAAGAUCAAAUCCCAAGGCCAGGUAUGGGGCAUUUGUUAUAUGAUAUUGAAUUUUUCAGCCAAGGCUUGAGCAGGUCAUGCUAAUUAAUGAAGAAUUUUCAGAUGGAUGCCCAUGAUUUCAAUGAAGCCAAUGCUUUUGGGAAAAAAUAGUCUGCAACGUCAAAAGAAAUUGGUUCUAUUUUGUCAGAAUAAAUAAUUUAAAUGAAGUACACAGUAUUUGUAACUUGACUGGUAUCCUGUCUAUU
This 18335-nucleotide long non-coding RNA is filed under the name Gallus gallus (chicken). Its description in RNAcentral is "lncRNA (ENSGALG00010022982.1)". The record is from RNAcentral. Lineage: Eukaryota; Metazoa; Chordata; Aves; Galliformes; Phasianidae.